Long non-coding RNA from Rhipicephalus sanguineus (brown dog tick), 1462 nucleotides. RefSeq lists it as uncharacterized. The transcript is spliced from 2 exons. The record is from RefSeq and is a predicted model, not a curated record. Lineage: Eukaryota; Metazoa; Arthropoda; Arachnida; Ixodida; Ixodidae.
UAUAUAUAUAUAUUUCCACGUCAGAGAGCACGCGCCUUGCAAGCGCAACUCAGCGAGCGAGGUCACCACACAAGGUGAAUUCCUGAUCGCCUCCACGUACGCAAUCAAAACACUUGUAGACUGCCCGAAUAGCCGCCAGUACAUGAGCUUUCCUUACUGUAGCCACGCGAACGCCCUUCCAUUCAUUCAAGGUUAGCGGGUGUGAGUCACGUUUGUUUUUAUUUACUGCUAGGGGCGAGCGAACGUUCCAGAAAAUAUUCGCUCAUAUCGUAUACGUGUACGCUGCGUCUCGCACGGCUGGGAGAGACGAAAUCCCUCUGUUUUGCUGCAGCGCACGCCGUCAGCGAGCGGAUGCCGUCACAGGCAUGCACAAAAUCAAGAGUUUAGAAAUAAAACAAAAUCGGAAAAGCCGGCGAAGUCGACAAACGGGCGCCGUGCGAGCCCGGGCAAGCUCACCGCCGAGCUUAUCAGCGCUAGCGCCAGAUGGCGAGCGGCGCGUUUGCUCCCAUUUUGCGCUUUGUAGCUUGUUUUGGCUGGCGCGUUGACGUCACCGCCGGGACGGCAACAUAAACGCGCCGUCGCGGGCCAGCGUCUGCGUGUAUCGAAGAGUCUUCUCUGAGAGAAGGGAUCGAAGCAGUCUCUUGCAGCGUUCCAAACUCGAGCCUGCAAACUUCGUUUGCCUGCCUAUUCCUACCCGCUGCUGAGUUUUCUGCAUCCGUUUAGUUCCUUCAUCGAGUUCCCGUUGCGGCAAUAAGUGAGUCGUUCGAGAUGUCUGAAAGCCACUUUGACGAGUACGAGCACUACAACUUCGACCACGACAAGUUCCUGUAUGCGGGCCACAGCGGUAAACAGAGGUCCAAGAGGGAGGUUUCGGAGCACACCAACCACCAUGACCCGAGCGGCCACGUUCGCAAACUAGUCACCAAAAUGGCCAACACCGAGAGGAACCGCAGGAACUCGGGCGGCAACCGGCAUUGAAGUCUGGUCGUGUGUGGCAUCGCUGCCGGGCUGUCAUCACCCACCUGAGCACGGUUGUCGUGUGCCGCAUCUAAUUUAUGCUUCAACAACGGAACAUUGGACGUCGACUGUGAUCUUUACAAAUACCUUGGACAUUGCGUACUCACCGGGCCGGUGCGUGUGCACAGACUGUUUGCCUUUUCCUCCCUGGCCCUCUUUUUCUGUGAUGUCUCGUCGCUUGCUUUGACGCGCGGUGUGUGUUUCAUCUUUAUCCCCUCAUAAGUGUCGACGGUGGCCCGCUGGCAUCCUGUAGAAUAUUCCGGCUGUUGUCUGUCGGAGAGCCCGUUCGAGCUACCCGUCUUUGCCACUUUAUUAUUUGUUGUUUCGCUUUCAUAUUUAUCUCGCACUGUCGUGUCGUAGACAAUAAAUCAAAGAGGGCAACUCGUGAUGAAGAUAUCGUACGAGCAUAGGGUAUCACAACUAAAUAAAGUGUUAUGGCACUUAA